Molecule: non-coding RNA, 148 nt
Filed under: Nomascus leucogenys (northern white-cheeked gibbon)
Lineage: Eukaryota; Metazoa; Chordata; Mammalia; Primates; Hylobatidae
Source: Rfam by way of RNAcentral
GCUGGGCAUGGUGGUGUGUGCCUGUAAUCCCAGCUACUUGGGAGGCUGAGGCAGGAGAACUGCUUGAACCUGGGAGGUGGAGGUUGCAGUGAGCCGAGAUGGCACCACUGCACUCUAGCCCAGGUGACAGAGCGAGACUCUGUCUCAA